RNAcentral lists this ribosomal RNA (253 nucleotides) under uncultured bacterium. RNAcentral describes it as "partial 16S ribosomal RNA". It matches the Rfam family "Bacterial small subunit ribosomal RNA", at positions 524 to 776 of the family's 1533-position model. The record is from RNAcentral.
UACGUAGGGUGCGAGCGUUGUCCGGAAUUAUUGGGCGUAAAGAGCGUGUAGGCGGCCAGGUAGGUCUGGUGUGAAAACUCGAGGCUUAACCUCGAGAUGUCAUCGGAAACCAUCUGGCUAGAGUCCGGAAGAGGAGAGUGGAAUUCCUGGUGUAGCGGUGAAAUGCGCAGAUAUCAGGAAGAACACCGAUUGCGAAGGCAGCUCGCUGGAACGUUACUGACGCUGAGACGCGAAAGCGUGGGGAGCAAACAGG